UGCUUCAUGAUGGUGUUAGAAGGUCCUGCCAGAUACCCUGGAGGGGAUGGUUUGUCCUUUCUGUAAUGAUGAAAAUAAUAUCUCUCCUGCAGGUUUAAUAACAAAAUGCAGUGCAAAAACUCCAGGUACUAGCCAAGUCAUGUGACAUGAGACAUGGGAUCAGCUUAUCUCACAGACCCAGACUUAGAGCCCUGUGCCAGCCUGACAACGAGUGGACAAUCCAGGAGGAUUUGAGUAUUUCCUGCAGCUAUUCAACAAAUACAGAAAGAGCUCCUUAAAGUUUCUGGCUAUAGCCCAGCCUUCCAGCUCCCUGACUCAGAUGGGACCUGUC
This 331-nucleotide long non-coding RNA is filed under the name Saimiri boliviensis boliviensis (Bolivian squirrel monkey). Its description in RNAcentral is "lncRNA (ENSSBOG00000036706.1)". Lineage: Eukaryota; Metazoa; Chordata; Mammalia; Primates; Cebidae. The record is from RNAcentral.